RNAcentral lists this ribosomal RNA (253 nucleotides) under uncultured bacterium. RNAcentral describes it as "partial 16S ribosomal RNA". It matches the Rfam family "Bacterial small subunit ribosomal RNA", at positions 524 to 776 of the family's 1533-position model. The record is from RNAcentral.
CACGUAGGGCGCAAGCGUUGUCCGGAAUUAUUGGGCGUAAAGCGUCCGUAGGUGGCUAGUCAAGUCUGCGGUCAAAGACUGGGGCUUAACCCUGGAAAGGCCGUGGAAACUGACGAGCUAGAGUGCAGUAGGGGUAGAGGGAAUUCCCGGUGUAGCGGUGAAAUGCGUAGAGCUCGGGAAGAACAUCGGUGGCGAAAGCGCUCUACUGGACUGCAACUGACACUCAGGGACGAAAGCUAGGGGAGCGAAUGGG